CUGGUGCUGUUCUGCUCAGACAACGUGCUCUGCCUCCCUGCUCUUGGCUUGGACAUAUUUUCCGGCUCUGCUUUGUGCUUCAGAUCAGCUUAGCCCUGAUGUUUUUGGCUUGAACUACCUGCAAAUUUAAGUGCCUCAAGUUUACCAGGAGAAAGCAUUAAGUGCCUCACAAUAUGGGCCUGGGAAGAUCUAGAAGUCUCUCAAUGGUUAUAAAGAUACUGAGCAGUUCCAACACUGCCACAAAGGAUCCAGGGACUAUCUUGAAAUUCCUAUUUCACUGCUGUGAGUAGCACAGAUGUUCCAGGCUGCUUUCUAUUUGUAAGUGGAGCAAAGCCAUUUUGUGGCUAAACGUUUCCAAUUUUCUGAUUCUCCUAAAUUAAUGAAUUGCUCAUAAGCAUCCUUGUGAAGAUUUUGCUGAACAAACUAGACCCCCAAAAUAGCUAAUUUGUAUAUAGUUUGUGGACAGGGCUUUUUUUUUGAAAUAAAAUAGCUGCAUGUUUUAUAA
Pogoniulus pusillus (Red-fronted tinkerbird) is the source of this 505-nucleotide long non-coding RNA. RefSeq lists it as uncharacterized. The record is from RefSeq and is a predicted model, not a curated record. The transcript is spliced from 2 exons. Lineage: Eukaryota; Metazoa; Chordata; Aves; Piciformes; Lybiidae.